AGGUUUGAUCAUGGCUCAGGACUAACGCUGGCGGCGUGCCUAACACAUGCAAGUCGAACGAAGUAGCAAUACUUAGUGGCAGACGGGUGAGUAACACGUAGUCAACCUUCCUUUUAGUGGGGGAUAACUAGCCGAAAGGUUAGCUAAUACCGCAUACGAUCGUCGAGCGGCAUCGCUUGGCGAUGAAAGCAGCAAUGCGC
This 200-nucleotide ribosomal RNA is filed under the name uncultured bacterium. Its description in RNAcentral is "partial 16S ribosomal RNA". It matches the Rfam family "Bacterial small subunit ribosomal RNA", at positions 9 to 218 of the family's 1533-position model. The record is from RNAcentral.